GGGCCCGUAGCUCAGCUGGCAGAGUGCCUCGUUUGCAUCGAGGAGGCCUCGGGUUCAAAUCCCGACGGGUCCA
Molecule: transfer RNA, 73 nt
Filed under: Candidatus Woesearchaeota archaeon
Lineage: Archaea; Nanobdellati; Candidatus Woesearchaeota
Description: tRNA-Ala
Rfam family: tRNA
About the family: Transfer RNA (tRNA) molecules are approximately 80 nucleotides in length. Their secondary structure includes four short double-helical elements and three loops (D, anti-codon, and T loops).
Source: RNAcentral